GACGAACGCUGGCGGCGUGCUUAACACAUGCAAGUCGAGCGGUAAGGCCCUUUCGGGGGUACACGAGCGGCGAACGGGUGAGUAACACGUGGGUGACCUGCCCUCAGCUCUGGGAUAAGCCCGGGAAACUGGGUCUAAUACUGGAUAUGACUCCACGGUGCAUGUCGUGGGGUGGAAAGCCUUGUGCGGCUGAGGAUGGGCCCGCGGCCUAUCAGCUUGUUGGUGGGGUGANGGCCUACCAAGGCGACGACGGGUAGCCGGCCUGAGAGGGCGACCGGCCACACUGGGACUGAGACACGGCCCAGACUCCUACGGGAGGCAGCAGUGGGGAAUCUUGCGCAAUGGGCGAAAGCCUGACGCAGCGACGCCGCGUGAGGGAUGACGGCCUCGGUU
This 393-nucleotide ribosomal RNA is filed under the name uncultured bacterium. RNAcentral's name for it is "bacterial SSU rRNA". It matches the Rfam family "Bacterial small subunit ribosomal RNA", at positions 28 to 424 of the family's 1533-position model. The record is from RNAcentral.